GUGCUUGCUUUGGCAGCACAUAUGCUAAAAUUGGAACGAUACAGAGAAGAUUAGCAUGGCCCCUGUACAAGGAUGACACACAAAUUUGUGAAGCGUUCCAUAUUUUU
Mesocricetus auratus (golden hamster) is the source of this 107-nucleotide small nuclear RNA. The record is from Ensembl. NCBI's taxonomy places the organism in Eukaryota, Metazoa, Chordata, Mammalia, Rodentia, Cricetidae.